Long non-coding RNA from Canis lupus familiaris (dog), 1572 nucleotides. RefSeq lists it as uncharacterized. The record is from RefSeq and is a predicted model, not a curated record. The transcript has 3 exons. Lineage: Eukaryota; Metazoa; Chordata; Mammalia; Carnivora; Canidae.
UACACACAAUGCCCACCCUGCUAGGUUGUUCUGGCUUCUUCCGUGCAGCGAGCACCCCUCAGGCAGGUCCCCCACAGCAGGUGGCAGGGGCAGCUGGUCCAGUCGUGGCCUGAGCUCACUAUGAGGGGGUGGCGGGUCACAGGGUCUCACAAACCCCUUCAGGCGGGGACCCCUGCCCUGCAGCCUCCUGGGCAGAGCGGCUCUGCAUGCGGGCCGGCCCCACAACACAGGAAGCACAGCCCCACUUAGUCAGGCAGCUGGGCGACCACGGGAGGGUGGGCAGGAGCCCAAGGGGCGCAGGCCGGAAGAGUCCAGGGUUGGCGUGGUGUGGGCUGGCCAGAUGCAGGGACACGCAGCUUCAAGAAGACAAUUCCCUCGCAGCCCCCAGCCCUACUCCUGCCGGGCUUGUGUCCCUGCAGCCCCCGCAUGGCCCACUGGGCUUGAGCCCAGGCUGGGUCCGGCCCCAUGGGAGCAAGCCCCCAAAGCCUGGGUAUUUACAGGUAUUUUUGGAGAAGAGACCCAGACUCACACGGUCCCCAGGGCCUUGACCCAAGAUACACUCAGAGCUCUGUGCUCGACUCAGCCUGGCUCUGGCAGAUGCCAUGGUCAGAACCCAGGUCCGGAGGGGCUCCGUUUCUUCAUCCUCCAUACAGUGGACCCCGCCUGGCCCAGUGCAGAGCCUGGGCAUCUGGACGGCGCAGGUCACCAGAGCAGUCAGGAGAAGCCCGGAGUCCCCGUCCUCCGCACAGGGGAGGGGCUGGAGAUGGAGGCAAUGACCCAUCUGCUCAGAAUCCCAAAAGUACGGGGCUCGGGGAGCUUCCGGGUUGAUCACAUCCACCUACGACUGGCAGGGCGGCCCACCCCCACUCCACGGGGACAGCAGGUUCUGCGCUCGGAAGCCCAUGGACCUCACCCUGGGCGGCUCUUCAUCUACGUGGUGUGCUGUUCUUCAUGACUUAAUAAGCCACCAGAUAUUUUAAUUUACUUCAGAGAUAGAAUGAGAGCACACAAGCAGCAGGUGAAGUAGAGAGAGACACAGACUCCCUGUGGGGAGCCCGACGUGGGACACGACCCCAGGACCCGGGAUCAUGACCCGAGCCGAAGGCAGACGCUCCAAGUCGGAGCCACCCAGGCGCCCCUGGCCAUCACCUCUUAAGUAAGAGAGCACAUGCAUCCUGACGCAGGUCCUAGAAGACCUGCAAGAGUGCACGGCCCGGCUCUCAGGCACCACAAGCCUCUGGACACACAUGCAUCUGCGGAGCUGUGAGGAAGCCUGUGCCCACCUUGCCACCUGUUUCCACAUGUGGACAGACCCUGAGGCACACAGCUGAGCCUCAGGGACAGGGAGGUGGAGCACAUUCCAGAGACACAGGUGACACAGGACAGCAGGCUGCCAUCUGGCCAGAUACCCAGGACACUAAGACCUGGUUCAGGGCAAGUUCCUAAUGGACACCUGGCUUGGUCCUGUAGUAUUUUAGGUGCCAUCAAGGUUGUGUGGUUUGGGGUAAAUGCUAUGGAAAAGAUGAAGACAUUCUCUAUAAAAAGUAUCUUCUAUAUAAUUUAGAAGAUCAU